This 468-nucleotide ribosomal RNA is filed under the name uncultured bacterium. RNAcentral's name for it is "partial 16S ribosomal RNA". It matches the Rfam family "Bacterial small subunit ribosomal RNA", at positions 28 to 507 of the family's 1533-position model. The record is from RNAcentral.
GACGAACGCUGGCGGCGUGCUUAACACAUGCAAGUCGAACGGAAAGGCCCUGCUUUUGUGGGGUUCUCGAGUGGCGAACGGGUGAGUAACACGUGAGUAACCUGCCCUUGACUUUGGGAUAACUUCAGGAAACUGGGGCUAAUCCCGGAUCGGAGCUCCUGCUGCAUGGUGGGGGUUGGAAAGUUUCGGCGGUUGGGGAUGGACUCGCGGGUUAUGGGCUUGUUGGUGGGGUAGAGGCUUGCCAAGCAUUUGGAGGGUAGCCGGCAUGAGAGGGUGACUGGCCACAUUGGGACUGAGAUACGGACCAGACUCGUACGGUGGGCAGUAGUGGGAAAUAUGGCACAAUGGGCGGGAGCCUGAUGCAGCAACGCCGCGUGCGGGAUGACGGUCUUCGGGGUGUAAACCGCUUUAGCCUGUGACGAAGCGUGAGUGACGGUAAUGGGUAAAGAAGCACCGGCUAACUACGUG